Molecule: ribosomal RNA, 271 nt
Filed under: uncultured soil bacterium
Lineage: Bacteria
Description: partial 16S ribosomal RNA
Rfam family: Bacterial small subunit ribosomal RNA
Source: RNAcentral
AGAUUGAACGCUGGCGGCAGGCCUAACACAUGCAAGUCGAGCGGUAGAGAGGUGCUUGCAUCUCUUGAGAGCGGCGGACGGGUGAGUAAUGCCUAGGAAUCUGCCUAGUGGUGGGGGAUAACGUUCGGAAACGGACGCUAAUACCGCAUACGUCCUACGGGAGAAAGCGGGGGACCUUCGGGCCUCGCGCCAUUAGAUGACGCCUAGGUCGGAUUAGCUAGUUGGUGAGGUAAUGGCUCACCAAGGCGAACGAUCCGUAACUGGCCUGAGA